This 498-nucleotide ribosomal RNA is filed under the name uncultured bacterium. RNAcentral's name for it is "partial 16S ribosomal RNA". It matches the Rfam family "Bacterial small subunit ribosomal RNA", at positions 30 to 523 of the family's 1533-position model. The record is from RNAcentral.
AUUGAACGCUGGCGGCAUGCCUUACACAUGCAAGUCGAACGGUAACAGGUCUACGGAUGCUGACGAGUGGCGAACGGGUGAGUAAUACAUCGGAACGUGCCUAGUAGUGGGGGAUAACUACUCGAAAGAGUGGCUAAUACCGCAUGAGAUCUACGGAUGAAAGCAGGGGAUCGCAAGACCUUGUGCUACUAGAGCGGCCGAUGGCAGAUUAGGUAGUUGGUGGGAUAAAAGCUUACCAAGCCGACGAUCUGUAGCUGGUCUGAGAGGACGAUCAGCCACACUGGGACUGAGAGACUGCCCAGACUCCUACGGGAGGCAGCAGUGGGGAAUUUUGGACAAUGGGCGCAAGCCUGAUCCAGCAAUGCCGCGUGCAGGAUGAAGGCCUUCGGGUUGUAAACUGCUUUUGUACGGAACGAAAAGCCCUGGGUUAAUACCCUGGGGUCAUGACGGUACCGUAAGAAUAAGCACCGGCUAACUACGUGCCAGCCGCCGCGGUAA